This 1680-nucleotide ribosomal RNA is filed under the name Escherichia coli. RNAcentral's name for it is "partial 23S ribosomal RNA". It matches the Rfam family "Bacterial large subunit ribosomal RNA", at positions 165 to 1869 of the family's 2925-position model. The record is from RNAcentral. Lineage: Bacteria; Pseudomonadati; Pseudomonadota; Gammaproteobacteria; Enterobacterales; Enterobacteriaceae.
CAUAGGUUAAUGAGGCGAACCGGGGGAACUGAAACAUCUAAGUACCCCGAGGAAAAGAAAUCAACCGAGAUUCCCCCAGUAGCGGCGAGCGAACGGGGAGCAGCCCAGAGCCUGAAUCAGUGUGUGUGUUAGUGGAAGCGUCUGGAAAGGCGCGCGAUACAGGGUGACAGCCCCGUACACAAAAAUGCACAUGCUGUGAGCUCGAUGAGUAGGGCGGGACACGUGGUAUCCUGUCUGAAUAUGGGGGGACCAUCCUCCAAGGCUAAAUACUCCUGACUGACCGAUAGUGAACCAGUACCGUGAGGGAAAGGCGAAAAGAACCCCGGCGAGGGGAGUGAAAAAGAACCUGAAACCGUGUACGUACAAGCAGUGGGAGCACGCUUAGGCGUGUGACUGCGUACCUUUUGUAUAAUGGGUCAGCGACUUAUAUUCUGUAGCAAGGUUAACCGAAUAGGGGAGCCGAAGGGAAACCGAGUCUUAACUGGGCGUUAAGUUGCAGGGUAUAGACCCGAAACCCGGUGAUCUAGCCAUGGGCAGGUUGAAGGUUGGGUAACACUAACUGGAGGACCGAACCGACUAAUGUUGAAAAAUUAGCGGAUGACUUGUGGCUGGGGGUGAAAGGCCAAUCAAACCGGGAGAUAGCUGGUUCUCCCCGAAAGCUAUUUAGGUAGCGCCUCGUGAAUUCAUCUCCGGGGGUAGAGCACUGUUUCGGCAAGGGGGUCAUCCCGACUUACCAACCCGAUGCAAACUGCGAAUACCGGAGAAUGUUAUCACGGGAGACACACGGCGGGUGCUAACGUCCGUCGUGAAGAGGGAAACAACCCAGACCGCCAGCUAAGGUCCCAAAGUCAUGGUUAAGUGGGAAACGAUGUGGGAAGGCCCAGACAGCCAGGAUGUUGGCUUAGAAGCAGCCAUCAUUUAAAGAAAGCGUAAUAGCUCACUGGUCGAGUCGGCCUGCGCGGAAGAUGUAACGGGGCUAAACCAUGCACCGAAGCUGCGGCAGCGACGCUGAUGCGUUGUUGGGUAGGGGAGCGUUCUGUAAGCCUGUGAAGGUGUGCUGUGAGGCAUGCUGGAGGUAUCAGAAGUGCGAAUGCUGACAUAAGUAACGAUAAAGCGGGUGAAAAGCCCGCUCGCCGGAAGACCAAGGGUUCCUGUCCAACGUUAAUCGGGGCAGGGUGAGUCGACCCCUAAGGCGAGGCCGAAAGGCGUAGUCGAUGGGAAACAGGUUAAUAUUCCUGUACUUGGUGUUACUGCGAAGGGGGGACGGAGAAGGCUAUGUUGGCCGGGCGACGGUUGUCCCGGUUUAAGCGUGUAGGCUGGUUUUCCAGGCAAAUCCGGAAAAUCAAGGCUGAGGCGUGAUGACGAGGCACUACGGUGCUGAAGCAACAAAUGCCCUGCUUCCAGGAAAAGCCUCUAAGCAUCAGGUAACAUCAAAUCGUACCCCAAACCGACACAGGUGGUCAGGUAGAGAAUACCAAGGCGCUUGAGAGAACUCGGGUGAAGGAACUAGGCAAAAUGGUGCCGUAACUUCGGGAGAAGGCACGCUGAUAUGUAGGUGAAGUCCCUCGCGGAUGGAGCUGAAAUCAGUCGAAGAUACCAGCUGGCUGCAACUGUUUAUUAAAAACACAGCACUGUGCAAACACGAAAGUGGACGUAUACGGUGUGACGCCUGCCCGGUGC